ACAAUACAAAGAGAAAGUGAGGGGGUGUGUGCAACAGCCUUCAUUUUACCAUGGCUUCGAGGUGCCACAUGAAAAUGUUUCUUCUGCUCCUUAUACUGGAGAUCGUUCUGCUCAUUACCAUGCCUUCUGGAGGCCUGGCGGGUCCGAGUGCGACACAGAGAAGCAGUAAGUACUCUGGCCUUUCAUUCUUGCAGAUCCGACCACUGAUUUAGUACAAAAUACCUCGUACUCCCUCUGUAAAUCAUAGGUAACAAAAAAUUAAAAAGGGUUCGACAAUUGAUAUAUCAAGAAAAUGAAUAGAAGUUCAAGUUACUGUUACAUGUUCGCUUUCUCAUGCACUAUUCAAAUGUUAGUAAUAUUGAUUGGAGGAUUAAACGACCGGAAAGCUCGUGGCUCCAAACGAAGAUGAUUCUCGACAAAAUUAUCCCCCACUUUUGGUAAACCCACAAAACAAUAUGUAAAAUAUAUGGCUAGUCAGACGAAAAAUUGGCAAAGUGAAAUAAUUAAAGACUAAUUAUAGCUUCCCUCUGUCUUGUGUUUCCAGAAUUUACAUCUCAUAAUUUGUUCUUGCAGAUAGUGACAACCCCAACUGCCCCCCUUGCUACAGACCUCCUUGUCGUCAUUGUUGAAAGUAUACGGGGUUUUGCCCCAUUUAAUUUUCAUUCCUCAAAAGUCACAUAUAGAGUGAGGAAGAAAUGAGACCAACAUAUAAGGGACUCUCUCUCACACACACUCCUCAUUAGAGCAUGAUAGUAGUGGCGUGCCUUCUCCGCGGCCACACCGCACCGCUCGCCUACAUCUUCGAUUCCUGGCGACUUAUUCAAACCUGUAAUAAGAAUGCUCCUUGGUGCGAUAGCAAGAAUGUUAGCCAUCUAGGAGCAUGUGCUUCAUCGUUUUCCAAUUUGCAUCCUUAAUGUCGUUUUUAUGUUUUUGUGAUGUAUAAAGACUACAUGCCUGGCAAUUUGAUACAUCAUUUCGUUGUGCAUGAAACGUUGCCCUGCAGCAAACGAUGAUCUCACAUGUGUGACCAGGCUCCUUGUAUAAAUGGGA
Molecule: long non-coding RNA, 1050 nt
Filed under: Triticum aestivum (bread wheat)
Lineage: Eukaryota; Viridiplantae; Streptophyta; Magnoliopsida; Poales; Poaceae
Description: long non-coding RNA (TAES_LNC021669)
Source: RNAcentral